GCCGGGCCUAGGCCAUUCUUGCUAGGGCGAUGAUGAUUGACCAUGGCUGAAAUAGUGUGCCUUUGAGCAAUCGAGGCACCUGUGGGUAUCAAGUUGGAUCCUCCCUCUUGUCUCUAGAAUCCUUUGAUCCUGUGAUACUGAUUGCUCUGUCCUUGGACGGUCAUUCUUCUUGAGUGAUAACCAGGGCAGCUCCACAGUAUAAACUGGUUGAUCUGGUGAUAGCAGAUGAUGUGGGUAGGUUAUAUGAUCGAGCAAAGGCGAAUCUGAGCCCACUAUGCAAUAUAAGCUCCAAUGUUUAUAUUUGUCUUGUGUAAAGAUUUCUUCUCUUAUACCUUCAUUGCAUAAGUUAUGCUUGAUCUUUUAUCGUUCGCUGUUGCUCCUUAAUUUAAUCUGGUUAAGAGUAAGUUUCACUUUGUUAUAUUAGGGAGACUUCUAUUUUUCCGCAAGUUACCAGUUGCAGCUAUUUGUUCUUACAAUGCUUCAAAUAAUAAUGCAACUGGAUUUUUUUGGAGAGAAUGCUGGACUGUUCAUGUAAAGAGUGACCGAGGCGGCACGUCACAUGUUACUGUCUGUAUCCAUAAGCAAUUUUUCAACUGCUGUGAUUUAGUUGCUGGGCUAAUCUGGGCCAUUGAGCGGACAUUCCCUUUUGUUUUCUUUACUUUGUUCAGAAGCUUUCCCCAAUUCUGUCUAUCACCACUGCAUUUUUUGGAUCAUGCACCAGACUAAAUGUCGGUGAACUUCGAAGGAUGUGUGUUUUGUUAGCUUCUUAACUUGUUUCCUUGCUAAGUAAACCUUCGGGGUUAUUCAGUUUUGUUGCCCUCUUUGUAGAUAUAGUUUUGGUCUUUUACAUUGCUUUGUCAUGCACUCUUCCUGGCAAGCUUAUAACAGUGAUGACUUUGUCCAUUUAGUCAUAGCAACUAUUUGAAUUAUCAAAAUUCGCUACCAUUUGGUUACCACCAGAUGUUUGUCUUGACAAAACAUGGUCCAGGAAGGCAUUUUGUCUGCUAUGUUUUUUGAAAUAGAAUUCUGAUUCGGGGCAGUGAUGAUUGACCAUUGCUGAUAUAAGCAUGCUCGAGCAAUCGAGUAAGCUGUGGUAUAAGUUGAAUCCUCCCUUGUCUCUUGGAGCCGUUUCAACCACGACAAGAAUUAUGGGACGGAGGGAGUAUAUAUUUUUUUGUGGCUGUCCUUGGAAGGUCAUUUUGAUGAGUGAUAACCAGGGCAGCUCCACAGUAUAAACGGGCUGAUCUGGUUAUAAGAGAUGNNNNNNNNNNNNNNNNNNNNNNNNNNNNNNNNNNNNNNNNNNNNNNNNNNNNNNNNNNNNNNNNNNNNNNNNNNNNNNNNNNNNNNNNNNNNNNNNNNNNNNNNNNNNNNNNNNNNNNNNNNNNNNNNNNNNNNNNNNNNNNNNNNNNNNNNNNNNNNNNNNNNNNNNNNNNNNNNNNNNNNNNNNNNNNNNNNNNNNNNNNNNNNNNNNNNNNNNNNNNNNNNNNNNNNNNNNNNNNNNNNNNNNNNNNNNNNNNNNNNNNNNNNNNNNNNNNNNNNNNNNNNNNNNNNNNNNNNNNNNNNNNNNNNNNNNNNNNNNNNNNNNNNNNNNNAGCCCCCUCAAAUGCAAUUCUAGUGCUCCUUCAGCAUAAUAUGCUACGUUCUUUCUCUUUUUUUAUCUGUAUUUGAAGGUGUCGCUUAUUUUUAUAGCUGUCCUGUGUAUAUAUUUCUUCCCUCGUACCUUUAUUGUGAAGAUGUUCUUGCUCUUUUUUGUUUCGUUCUUACAUCUAUUCUGCACUAUACGUCAAGUAUCAGCCAAAAUAAAAUUUGGUCUUUGAUGCUACAUAUUCAGUUAAUUUUGUUCCCACUGUACAGCUUAAAUGGAUUGUCAUGGCCCCCCAGCACACUAUACUUUGUGGUUGCACACAUGCAUGGCAAAAUACUCCAAAUCUGAUGUGGUCUAAUGAUGCUCUAUCAUGUAUUUUAAAAGCAUGCCUUGGGGCAAGCUUCUAUAUCACCACCCUUCUCCACAGAAGCAUGUUCAAGUCAUAAGCUUGGUGAUGCUGUAAUUCAUAUGGUCAAUCAGAUAAUCAGUGCAACAUGCUCAUCAUAUGUUUGGAUGCAACUGAGAGUGCAGAUGCACAUUAGAUGCUGUGAAUAAAAGGUUGUGUGCUUGGCCAGUAAUUUUAAUAUGUGAGGCCUCCAUUGGCUAUGUAUAAUAUAAUGUUCUUUUGCCAUGUAUGUGUUCAGUGUUGGUUAACAAAAUGCUAAUGUUAAGUGAAAUUCUUUAAUAUCAAACGAAUUCUUUGUACAGAUUUUUUUUAGUUCUAUUGGAUUUCCCAUAAUAGUUUGUAUACCGGUCUACCAUUGUGUCUCUUCAUGAAUGUGGUACUGCUGAGCAAGCCUGAGAAGCCUUUGUAAUAGUUUGUGUAUUUCCUUUCAACUGCGAUAAUGUGUGCAUUUUCAUCUUGAUUCUAAAGUACAUCUUUCCUUUCUACUUGAAGUUAGAUGGAGGUCACUAGGCAUCAGGAGGAUUGCAUAGCCCAAUAUCCUCCCUUGUUACAUAAUUUUGCAAGCUAUUGGUGACCACGAAUAAUUAUGGGUGCUGUAUGCUAAACAAUGCUCUCUGUUUAAUGCAAAGUAUAUUGUUUGUAGGCACUAUUUGGUUUUGCUUGACAUUCGUUUUGGUGGUUUGCAUUUAAGUUAAAAUGCAGGCAGUGGUUGUUCUUUAUUGUUUGGUCAUUUGAUUUUGCUCUUCUUUUAGUUGUACUUGUUCUUUAUUGUUUUGGAUUUUGUUGCUUUCAGGAGAUAGCUUCUUCUCGGUUGCUUCUUCAGUCUUGUAAUCCAUGAUCAUUUUGCUGCUCUCAGUAGAUAGCAUAUUCUUUAUUCUUUGGUCAUUCGAAGGAUGUUUGUUUUGUUAGCUUCUUAACUUCCUUUUCCUUGCUAAGCAAGCCUUUCGGGUAAUUCUGUGUUGUUGCUGCCUUCUUUUUACAUAUAGUUUUGCAUCGCUUUGCUUUGCACUCUUCCUGGCAUGCUUAUAACAGAGACCUUUGUCCAUUAGACAUAGUAACUAUUUGAAUAAUCAAAAUUUGCUACCAUUUGGUCACCACCAGAAGUUUUUUAGUUGACAAAACAUGGUCCAGGAAGGUAUUUUGUCUGCUAUGUUUUUUGAAAUAGGAUUCUGAUUUGGGGCAAUGAUGAUUGACCAAUGCUGAUAUAAGCAUGCUCUCGAGCAAUCGAGUAAGCUGUGCAUAUUCAGCUGGAUCCUCCUUCGUCUCUUGGAGCCGUUUCAACCAUGACAAGAAUUAUGGAACGGAGGGAGUACUAAGAGCAACUCUAGCAGAUUUGCUAUAUUUUUGGUGGCUCUGUCCUUGGAAGGUCAUCUUGACGAGUGAUAACCAGGGCAGCUCCACACUAUAAACGGGUUGAUCUGGUGAUAAGAGAUGAUGGGGGUAGGUUACAUGAUCGAGCAAAGGCGAAUCUGAGCCCCCCUCAAAUGCAAUUCUAGUGCUCUUUCGGCAUAAUGUGCUACACUGUUUCUCUUUUUUUAUCUGUGUUUGGAAGGUGUCGCUUAUUUAUGCAACUGUGUUUAUAGCUGUCCUGUGUACAUAUUUCUUCCCUCUCAUACCUUUAUUGCGUAAGUUGUUCUUGCCCUUUUUUUUUCCGUUCUUGCAUCUGUCUGCACUAUAGUACAUCAAGUAUCAGCCAAGAAAAAUUUGUACUUUGAUGCUACACAUUCAGUUUUCAACUUAAAUGGAUUCCUGUGGCCCCCAGCACACUAUAUUUUGUGGUUGCACACACGCACAGCAAAAUACUCCAAAACUGCUGUGGUCUUAUAAUGCUCUAUCAUGUACUAUUUUAAUAAGCAUGCCUGAGCGCCAGCCCUUCUCCACAGAAGCAAGUUCAAGUCAUAAGCCAGUGUUGGUGGUGCUGUAAUUCGUAUGGUCAAUCAGAUAAUCAGGGCAACAUGCUUGUCGCAUACCUUUUGGAUACAAUUGAGAGUGCAUAUGCACAUUAAAUGCUGUGAAUCAAAGCUUGUGUGCCUGGUCAGUAAUUUUGAUAUGUGAGCCCUUGAUUGGCUUAUGUAUAAUAUGUUGUUCUCUCGCCAUGUAUGUGUUGGGUGUUGGUUAACAAGAUGAUGAUGUUCAGUAAAAAAUUUCUAUAUCAAACAAAUUUGUUUUACAGAGUUUUUUAGUUCUAUUGAAUUUCCCAUGAGAGUUUGUAUACCGGUCUACCAUUUUGACUCUUCAUGAAUGUGGUCUUGCUGAGCAAGCCUGAGAAGCCCUUGUACUAAUAGUUUGUAUUUGAGCAGUUUCUUCCUUUCAACUGCGAUGAUGUGUGCAAUUUCAUCUUGAUUCUAAAGUAGAGUUUCCUUUCUACUAGUAGGCAUCAGGAGGAUUACAUAGCCCAAUAUCCUCGCUUGCCACAUAAUUUUGCAAGCUAUUGGUGACCACAAAUUAUUACGGGUUCUGUAUGCCAAACAAUGUGCUCUGUUUAAUGCAAUUUUUUUUAUUAUAUUGCUAUUGCACAAGAUUUCUGGUUCCUCCUAAUUUUGAGGCACUAUUUGGUUAUGCUUGACAGUAAUUUUGGCGCUUUAGAUUUCAGCUAGAAUGCACGCAGGAUAUGUUGUUUGCUCAUUUGAUCUUUUUCUUCUCUCCUACGUCUACUUGUUCUUUAUUUGUUUCUGAUCAUUUUGCUGCUCUCAAGAGAUGCCUACCAUAUUCUCGCCUGGUUCAUCAGUGACCUCAUCCAUUUGGUUUGGUGCCAAAAGAGGAAGGGUCUCCCAACCAAGUUUCAUGUUGAUCUUAUUGGCUCUAGCUGUGAUCUUGUAGAUAUAGCUGCCUGUGGAACAUAUUUUUGCGUCUCCUAAGUUGGGUUCUAGAGUGGUUGCACUCUGUUAUACCAAGGUAGACUUGCUGGCUUGUUUUUAAAUGGUUGUCAUACCAGCAUUGUUUUCUCCCAGCAAAUUGCCAGCUGCAGCAGUUUGUUCUUACAUGCGACAGAGAACGAGUACGGUGCAUGUUUGCUGUCUGUAGCCAUAAGCAAUUUUUUGACUGCUGUGAAUGAUUGAGUUGCUGGGUUUAGCUGAGCCAGUGUGGUGAUAUUUUGACUGCCGUUACUGUUGCCUCGAGUGCCCGUUUGGGUGUUCGACGCCUACGGUCUGUUCCAAGUGCUGCGGUUUUGUCGUGUUACCCCGUGACAGGUUUCUUCAAUGUUAAUAGGCAUCAUUCAGCAUGUUCUUGUUUUCUCAAACCGUUUUGUCUCAAUCUCUUGGACCUGGUUUGAAAAUUAUACACUUUUGGUUGUACGUGUGCAGGGCUGCAUGUAGGCUGGCUGCGGUGGCUGGGAGUGUGUACGUUCUCGCACACCCGCGCCUUCUUAAAUCCCACACCACAUGGGCAGUGACUCCGGCGAGCUGCAGGGAGUGACGGGCAGAAAUGGCGGCCUCCUCCCUCCUCGCCGCCAUCCUGGCGCUGCAGCUGCUUCUCCUCCUCGUGGCAUUCACGCCCGCACCAGCAGCAGCAGCGAGCCCCUCCAAGCGCCCCAUCCAUCAGCCUCCCUCUUUCCCCGCAGGAAUCUCUACCCUGCGGCGGCGGGCUGCAAGCUCGAGCGGCAGGCUCGCCACGGAGGCGGUGAAGCCGUUCACGGCGCACUACUUCCCCCAGGAGCUGGACCACUUCACCUUCACGCCCAACUCCUCUCGCGUCUUCUCCCAGAAGUACCUCCUCAACGACACCUUCUGGCGGAAACCCACCGGGCCGCUGUUCGUGUACAUGGGCGGCGAGGCUGACAUCGAGUGGUUGGCCACCACCACCGGCUUCAUGUUCGACAUCGCGCCAGAGUUCGGGGCUCUCAUCGUCUUCAUCGAGGUACUCUUCUUUGCCACAUCCUCCGCCAUGGCUGAUACUUUCAGCUAAUCAUCAUAUCAUCGGUUGCCACGCCUUAGUCCAAAUUUUGGUUGUUGUGCUGCACACCAUUUUAUUUGUAAUUAAGCAUAUUAAUAAUAUAAUUAUUAAAAGGUGAAUGCCUAAACGGACUAACGAAUGCAUCUAUAUAGACUGAAUAAUCUGUUACCUUGAUUAUACAUUAGAAUCUAAUUUUAAUGAUCAAAAUAAAAAAUAAUAUAAUAAUAAUAAUAAUAUAUGUGCAUCACAGCCACUCGUGAUGGAGCGGCGCUCCGGGUCGGGUGCAGUUCGAUUGAAACAAAGAGAGCAAUCCUGAUGGCAUCACUGCCGAUGUCAGCACUCAGGCAAUUAACCAAGUUGCUUUAUUUCACGUGUGCUAGCUAGGUUGACUGGAAUUUCAUUGCCACAACACUUGAUGGAUUUCACCGUACAAGAAUAUGACUAGAUCGAUUGAGACACAUACAAUUAUUUUCUGUUAGUUGGAUCAAGAGCAAAAAUUCCUGCAAAAGAAAAAUCAAUAGCAAAUGUAUCAACUAAAUAUUUUCCAUCCGUACUCCACAUAGUUCAUAGAUGUAAAUAAUUCUAUAUAAAGAGUAAAUAUAUAUAAAAACACAUUUCAAAAUGUUAAUAUAUUCUGAACAAUAAUUUCGCGUGUACAUCCGGACAUUCUAUGUUCGCACACAAAAUUUCGCAAAUAUAUAUAAAUUUUUUGUGGCAUGUAUAAAAGGAUAAAAAAAUGUCUCAUGAAUAGUUGUAAUGAAGCACCGAAAAUUGUCUUUUUUACACAAGCCACAAAAAAUGUCCUUUUUCAUCGAAACUUUGUGCGUGAACAUGUAAUGUCCGGAUGUACAUGCGGGAUUUUUUCUCGAAUUUUUUGAACUUUUUUAAAAUGUGUAUUUAGACAAUGGGUGCAAUACACCUAUGAAUCAAAGUGAAUUUCCGCUACAUACGGAUGUAUAUAGACAUAUUUAGAGUGUAGAUUUGCUCAUUUUACUUCUUAUGUAGUUCAUAUUGAAAUCUCUGAAGGGACUUAUAUUUAGGAACGAAGGGAGUAGGACAUUAACUAGCCCAAUUCAGGCUUUGAUAACAUAUAAGAUAAUAACAUGCGGAUUAUGUUAUAGAAAUCAAACUAAUAUGAUUGGAUUUGUAAUAUAUAUCUCUUUUCUUCACUUAUCAUUUGAUUAUUUUUAUCUUAACUACAAAUGAAAUAUUGAUUAUAUAGUUUAAAAUUAAAAAAAAUGUGUGCCUUGCAUUUGUUACGGAGGGACUAUGCAAUAAGUUAUUUUGGUCAUCAUAGAAACAUGAGACAUACUUACACGACAUGGUCGAUGAGAGAGAGAGAGAGAAAGAGAGAGAGAGAGAGAGAGAGAGAGAGAGAGAGAUAGUCGUGUUAAAUAGUAGAAUUUGGUGCAACCAACGUUGGCACAAUCAGCAAAAGCUAAGUUAUGACUCAUAUACCAUGGAUACAAUUAGAUCAACUCUAGCAGAUUUGUGGAAAACGGCCUUUGCGGGCUGGCUUGGACGGCCGCAGAUGCAGACUCCCCAAACAGACCCGUAUAAAAGGAUAUUCGCGGAAUAUACUUUUUUACGGUCUGCUCGGGCACCGCCGCGUCGACCCGCAAACAGAAAACGCCUAAUUCUCAAAUUUGACAUAGAUGCCCACACAUAAGUUCAAAUUCAAACAUAGCACAGUUUACCCGCCCCGACCCGCACUUUAGCGGUUAUUUUGCGGAUCGGGGCGGGAUGCAGGGUCUGCUAGAGUUGCUCUUAGAAAGGCAAGGUAAUGUUCAUGUCUACAAGGUAUGCAAGAGUUGGUAGCUAGAAAGAUAAAUACAGAUAAUGUUUUCACGAUUAUAGUUAAAUAUGAACACAUUACAUUAGUAGGCAUGCAACAAAGGAAAUUAGAGUAAGGCACGCAUGUGUGGAAGCAUGUCGAUGCAUGUCAUAUCCCUAAUUGAACCUAACUGCAAUACCACUAACGAUGAGAAAGGGAAGAAAAAAGGCCCAACGAUAUUAUGUUUCGAUUAUUUCUUAUUUAAAGCUCCUCUUCAAGAUAAAGAAGCAUCAUAAUGUGGUGUUAAUUUUUGGUGUCUAAUUUCUCAAGGUCAAUGAACCAGAUUGAGAAGAAAUAAACAAACAUGCUAUUACCAAAAUUUAACAACGGGCGACAAAUCUACCCACGCAAAUGCAUGGGUCAUUCCGCUAGUUGGCACUUAAGCUUCGUUAACGGUACUAAAUACUAUCAAUAUUCACUUGUUCAAAUUGCAACUUGUUUGAAAUUUGUGUGUCGGAGUGCAGCAUCGGUUCUACGGGGAGUCAAAGCCGUUCGGCAAUGACUCGUACAAGUCAGUUGACAUGUUGGGCUACCUGACGUCCACACAGGCGCUCGCCGACUUUGCCAUCCUCAUCACGAGCCUUAAGCAGAACAUGUCCAUUGUUGAUGCCCCCGUCGUCGUCUUCGGCGGCUCUUAUGGCGGCAGUAAGUCUAUCACUAACGUGUUUCCUUAUAUUAUAUCCGUUCAUGCAUUAGUCUGAAUCUCCUUAAGUUUAUUAUUAUUUUUAGGAGGGCGCUUGCCGCCUCUCGGCUCGUUUUGUUUUUAGGAAUCACCGGGGUUGGGGUGGGGAGGGGGGAAGAUCCCACAUGUAUAUAUAUAUAUAUAUAUAUAUAUAUAUAUAUAUAUAUAUAUAUAUACAGGGCAAGAAUUACAGGGUCAGGAUGAUGCGUGAAGAGAGGUAGUCUCACCAAGACAAUGCGACAACAUUACCAACCGGCUCCUUAAACCGCUGAGAUCAAAUGUUUGAAGUCCAAAAGAUGUUUAUAAUGGUAACUACACACCAAGGAGAUCAUGUUUAUAAUGCGACAACAGGAUUUCUGCCCAGAUGUCAUUAUCUAGGUGAGCAUAAGGGAGCACCAAAGAUCCUACACCACAUGUUAGGGGUGAUGCCGAGGUGACUCCAAAUCCGCAUGGAGCUCAGAGAGUUGAUGAGGAUGUGGUGGGCGUCCUACAAAUGUGCAUUGAGGGUAGCAACCGCUGGAGAUGUUUGUGGAAUAGAUUUCCUCUGGUAUCCAGACAUCCACAACAAAGAGUAGCUAGCCGAAGACCUUGAUCUUGUUGGGGUCGCAGAAGAGCCAUAUGAGAUCAGUGUGAUCGUAUCCCUAUACUCAUGAUUGAGAAGGUUGUAGACAACACCGGUGGGAGAAGUCAUUGGAGUAACAAAGACAAAACGGGCAAUUCGAAGCAACAUUGGCAAGACCAUUUCGUAGAUUCGCAUGCAAUCCAUCUUGCAUGGUCUCAUGGAGUAGGAUGUUGGUUUUUUCCGGUCGACGGUGGCGGCGGCCGCGGGCGUUGUUUCCUUCAUGAAGGCUCUGUUGUGGUGUUCCCUUUCCUUCACGUUGCUCUGGGUGAAAACUCGAUCUUCGGGGUCGGGCGGUGGCGACAAUCCGAUGUCAUGCCCUUCUUGAAGGCACCGCCUUGGAGUCCAUCCUCCGUCAGUGUCCUGCUUCACUUCUUUUCGGUGGCUAGUUCUCGAGAGGUCCUCGUUGGCUACAAGUGGUUUUUUUGGCUCAUCUGUAGUGCUUGGUGGUUGAUUGGGUAGUGUGGCGGUGCGUCGGCACCCUUGUAUCUUGCCUUGGUUGAGUGUGGUGUGUGUGUUGGUGGCUUGUUGUAUCCGGAUGUGUAUCUCUGGUUGUUGCUUUAUAUAUAAAGUGGGUGUGGAGGCUGGGAAUGUGGUGUGGAGGCUGGGAAUGUGGUGGCUAGGGGUUGCUGUAAGCCAAACAGAAGUGGUGAAGUUGUUUCUCAAACAAAAGAGAGUUGUUGCAGUUGUGGUAGCUUUAUUUUUUUGUGAAGAAGGGUCCCUAUAUAUUAUAAACUUCACCAGUAGUACAAAGCACUCCCUACAUAGUAAAAAUGACAUUGAGGUCCUUGGACCACUACCGCCAGCAGAACAAGCCGUCCACGCGCUGCUGUCGCUCUUCCUCUACCGGUGUCGGCCUGACCUUGUCGAUGACAGUUGGGAAGUCUUCGUGCAUGUGUCCUAAGUACCAGCAUCCUGGACCUGCAGUCGUUGUCGUUGAACCCAUGAAUCGGUCCGAAGCGCUUGACACCAUAUGUCGUUGUAAAGAAUGUGAGGCGAGAAACCUAACCUCGCCACUCCAAGGAGAUGGCAUGACAGGAACAAUGUCGAAUCUGCCCUGAUGUCUAGGUUAGAUAGGAAGAAUGGUCGAGACGUGACCGAUGGAGCCAGGGUGCUGGGAUUGGUAGUUUUGUGGAGAUCAAGAUGAGCUAAUAUACACUAAUGUAUUACAAAAUAAACUAAUGAUGUCUUAUGGCCUGUGGCUUUGGCUGUUGGUUCUAGUGUUGGCUUCAUGGUUCAGGUUAAAGUAUCCCCAUGUCGCCAUCGGAGCCCUGGCGUCCUCUGCACCCAUCCUGCACUUCGACGACAUCACCCCGUGGUCAAGCUUCCAUGAUACCGUCUCACAGGACUUCAAGGUAAUUUUCUAUAUCUAAAUAACUAGCUGUCACUAACUAUUUUAAAAAACAUGCAGCUAUGCUAUUGCUACCUCAUUAUCCUAAUAAGUUCUAGAAAUUAAUUGCAUGCAUGUGUCCUUCGCACCAAGUUUUCUUCCCCACAUUUAUGCGGGGUUUUUCUUCUUCUGAAUUCCCUACUCGUAAGUGAGUGCACAUAUGAUGCGAUCAAGAUAUACAAUAUUAUAAUUAAAAUACUCAUAUUGAUACAAUAAAAUCACAUGGAAAUAUAUUGCAACCAAUUCCUGCGGCAACGCGCGGGGUGUCAUCUAGUAUAAUUAAUUACCACUCCAUAGUAACAAGAAAAAGAAAUAAGUUGGCCUAAUUAUUAGUCUUGAGAACGCACGGCAGGUCGACAUGAACAUCUUCUGCAAACUGAUCGAUGGUGUCAGCUCUGGAAAUUAUUAGUACUGCUACUGAUUGCACUUGUUGUCACUUGUCGUCCGGUAGCAUGUCUCUCUUCCUCUCAUCCUCUGGUGUUAUCAAUACUAUCAUAAUGGUUUUCAGUUUUGGAUUAUGAAUUGGUAAAUGGUGAUGGCGGCUAGCCCUUGCACUUUCCAUGGGCAUUCAGCUUAAAUUUAUUUGAUCGAAUGUUACCUUCCAGCCAAUGAUGUAGAUGUCUAGUUCUAGGUGAGGUCUUGCUUAUGAGUUCAUCAUGGCUAUUCAGUUGUUGACUAGCUUGAUUGCGAUGCUCAACCGCAUCAAGGGGCUAUUUUUUCGAACCAUGACUGCACGUGAACUAAAUAAAUAGCACCGAAGGACUAUCAAUAGGCGGUUGGGAGUAAGGUCCUCAUUUGGCCAAAGAUACGCAAAUUGAUGCAUUUUGUUCAAUGUUCAUUACUGAUGAUGAUGACGCAUCUGUUGCUAAUAACGUAGAGACAGGAUAUAACAUGGAAAUGGAAUGAUGAGUAACUUGCUAGUGACAUCUUUGCCUGACUGGUGCUUGAUUAGUCCUUCUCCCAAGAUGAAGUUUCCAUGAAAACCUAGGUGUUUAAUCAGCUGAUCGUCACAUCCAACUAGUUUUGCAGUCCGAGAGCCUGAAUUGCUUCAGUGUCAUCAAGGCAGUCUGGGAUGUGCUAGAUAACAGGGGAUCCAAUGACACAGGGCUCUUGGAGCUCAGCAAAACCUUCAGGGCCUGCAAGUAAGCUUUGCCUAACACAAUUACUCAAUCUUUUCAUGAAGGGAGAAAAUGAUUUUUUUCUCUCCUUUACUCAUAACUGUAUAGGACACCGGCCGCAUGGUAUAAAACUUUGAUAUAUGGAGAAAAACAAGAGAUUAAGACUGCAAGUAUUCUUUUCUAUCCGUAAAGUGUAAGCAAAGUAAACAAAUAGUCAAACCUUGUAGCAGGAAAUACAUGAAAAAAAGAACUUGCAGCCCCAAAGAAGGUACAUUAAGUUCAAUGAUAAAUCGAUGGACAUGUAAAUCUAAUCUUGCCAAGCUAACUGGAGUGUGAACUAAUGAAGGAUUUCAUACUUUGAGCGAAUUGACAACAAUGACACGGUUCAUGGCGUUGCUUUAUCCUUGAAUCUUAGGACCGUGCAGUUCAUUUAUCCGCUGAGCAGCUGGCUACAGACAGCGUUCAUCCACACAGCCAUGAUGGACUAUCCAACCCCAGCAAAUUUCUUGAUGAAUCUGCCUGCUUACCCAGUCAAGGAGGUUAGCCACUUGUAACCUAAUUUACAACUAUUAUUCUCGCCUGCAUUACAUCAAAUGAAUGAGAGUAACAUGAGUUUCAGAGUUACCAAACUGAGUCAUGCAAAAAGAGGACCUGUUCUUUUUACUCCUCUGCGUUGCAUGUAAUUCUCCUGACAUUUCUGCAGAUGUGCAAGAUCAUUGAUUCUUUUCCUGCGGGAGCUGACGUCAUCGACAAGGCUUUCGCUGCGGCGAGCGUGUACUACAAUUACACAGGCGACCAGAAAUGCUUCCAGGUGGAGGGUGGCGAUGACCCUCAUGGCUUCAAAGGAUGGGGCUGGCAGGUACAAGCCUGACUCACAUACAUGUGUAUGUGGUGUACUGAACUACUGAUAACACAUGAAGACUGAGAAGUAUCAUAUAUGUGUCUUACGAAACAAACUCUUGUGCAGGCCUGCACAGAGAUGGUCAUGCCAAUGACGGUGUCGAACGAGAGCAUGUUCCGACCAUCCAGCUUCAGUUACGAGAAGAUGUCCGAGAACUGCCUCGCGGGCUACGGAGUUCGUCCGAGGAUGCACUGGAUCACUUCUGAAUAUGGUGGCCAUGUAAGUUUUUAUUCAGAUUUUCAUGUUUACAUACGACCGUCAGCAGCAGCAUUUCUUUGGGUGGCAUGUGCUCACCUAGUACUGCAUUGCACAACCCACUACAGAAAAUUGACAAGGUUCUCAAGAGGUUUGGGAGCAACAUCAUCUUCUCCAACGGGAUGCGAGACCCAUGGAGUGGAGGCGGGUAGGAGUAAAAGAUUUCUCACCAUCUGAUCUAUUCAUGUUGAUAGUUUCAACCAUUUAGGUAGCAAUUUUACCAUAGUAAACAAUAGUAAUAGUCUUCCUUCCGAACUGCUACCAGGGUACUCAAGAACAUAUCAUCCAGCAUCAUUGCUCUUGUCACGGAGAAAGGUAAACUUGAAGUUGUAGAAAAUAUGUAAGGUCAAAGUAUUCUGAACUUACGAGUGGCUACUUGUGGUGAUGUUCAGGGGCCCAUCAUUUGGACUUGAGAUCUGCAACCAAGGAUGAUCCAGACUGGGUUGUAGAACAAAGGAGACAGGAAGUUGAGAUCAUACAUGGAUGGAUAGAUCAGUAUAACAAGGACACUGCACAGGGGUAGCAGUAAGAAGGCGGCAUUGAUUUUCAGAGUCAAGGAAAAUAAAUAUGGCUUGGUGGCUUUAUUAAUCUAAAGUCGGGCAAUCGUUUUUUAUCUAAAUAAAUAAAUUAAUAUGGCUACAUACAAAAUGUAAGGAUUUUCCUUUCUUCUACAGGGCGAUAAGCACAAAAAAAGAGAUAAUGCAUUAGUGCAACUUCAAAUUCAAUUAUACACCAGAAAUUCUUGAACUUAAGCAGUCAUAUAUACGUGAAUCAUGAAUGCAGAGGUUCUCCUUUUCUUAACUGUUGCAGUGAACAUUGAAUUUAGGAACAGACUUGUAUUUGACCCUGCUGAAAAUUUAAGAAAAAGGGUUUCCCCCCCUUUAUAUUAGGGGAGCACUAGGCAUCAGACUACUGAUGCCUCGCUUUCUAUCAGACCAGUCCACAGCCAUCCGAUCAGAUGCAUCCUGGUAGUCAGAUCAGAUCAGCUAGUCUAUUCCCGCGCGUGAUUUCUGGAUUGAGGCCCGAUAGCAGUUCCUUGUUUUGCCGCGAUGGGCAUGGUCGUAGCUAGUUUCCACCAAUUACUGUUACUAACUCUUCCUACAAUUGUGCUUCCGGAAAUCAUUCGUUAACCAUAUAUAAAAGGAGAUAACGUGCAUCUUCAUGCCAUGAAACAAUGUAUAUAUUUUCCACGGCGAAUGUGAAGCACUAACCAUGUACUACGUCGAUACAAAAUACGCAAGCUGUUGGGACAUAUUCCCUUUGCGUCGGCACAGCAGGGACUAUUGUGUUGCUGCCAAGUUGCGCAUGAUGCCAAUGUCGUCGAAGCGGAUGAGCGGGGUAUGUCGACUAAGCAUAACGUCGUCUUACAAAUGUGGCAUAUUUUCCUCAAAUAAAUGAUGUAAAAAGGCUGCGAUGCUUCCGACAUUGUAAUGUGGCAUAUUCUCAUGUAGUAUGUCAUGCUAGCAAAUUACCUAUGUUUCUGACAUUAUUGCUACAUGCUUCUUAUUUGUAGAAUAUUAUAAUUUGUUUCAUGCCACUAUAUAUUGCCACUGCCACAGCUAUGCUUCGAACAAUACUAAUUGUUGCAUGCUCCCUGUAUUACACUGAUGUUUGUUUCCCAAACAACAUACACAUCAAUUAGUAAUUUUGUAUGCUUCCAUUUUUUCCGCUACUUCCUUUGUACAUAGCUGGUUAGAGUUUCAGAUUCGUAGUAUGUUGCAGCAUCAACCAAUCAUAUUUUCAACCGAUGCUACAGGAUUCAUGUCUCCACAAUAAUCACUUCUUUCCGCAAAAGAACCGACCGUCGAUGCGUCAAGCAUGCCCAGGGGCGUGUUGGAGGACAUUGUCGUGGACAGGGCGCGUUUGCUCGUCUGGUCAAGAAACAUAUCCAAGAAGCAAAGAAUCAUGGUUCACCAAUCUUUGAAGCAAAGUGUUAGUACAAUAAACACAUGCACGAGACACACCAUGGAGGCAUGUAUGAUCGUAUUGAGCAGAUGCUGAAAAUGACAAGAAAACUCGCAUCAUGCCAUACAAGACCUUGAUACAGAAUUAGCAACGUGGGGUGAAGGUGGCGCCUCGCUCAGGGCAUCACAUGUUGUCAUCUGGCCAAACUUACCUGGCCUGCCAUGCGAGCAACACACAAGCCAUAAGACGUUACCACACAAGGAUGGACCAGAUUGGUGGAGGAGGGAAGAGGGUGCUGGUUCUCCGUCGAGCAUGGAGUCGCCGCUUGGAAGCAGGCACCGCGCUCGGGUAAUGGCGGCAUGGCCACCUGAUGACGGGAGGGUGCACCACGGCACAUGUCGCACCGGCGCGGUGUGUCUCACGGGCAGAGGGGGAGGCUGGUUCAUGACGGAGAGGUGAGGGUGGUGAGCGGAUUGACGAGAUCGGCGGCACGGGCGCGUCGGAUGCGUUUAUAGCAGGUCAUAUUAAUGCGGGAUGGAUUAUAGCAGAGGAUGUGGCUAGAAAAUCGGAAGGGGCUGUUUUCAAAACACGUCGUUGCGGAAGCAUUCUGGACCGUGAGAUUUAAAUCAAAUCGACGGCAUGCGACUAGUCUGACGAAUGACUUUUACCAGAAGUCUGCUAAUAAGUGUUUUCCUUUAUAUUAUAAAGCAACGAACCAAGCAUCCAACACAUCAGUAUAAAGUACGAACAAGUCAUAAAGUCAUGCUGGGGGCACAGCAGGACAAACCCCAAACGAAGCUAAAAAAAGUUAAUCCGGCUCGGGAGGUCCCUGCUGAAAAUUUUAAUGCAUGGUUUUGACAUAUGCGAUGUCUAUGACGCGUGGGGUCUGAGUCCACAUGUUAUACACAUGGGUCAUAUUUCACAAAAAUAAAUAAAAUAGACAUGGGCCAUGUUAUUAAUUUGCAGGGGCAUUGCAUUAAAAAUAAGAACACCCAAACUGGCUAUAACUGACAUAACAUAGCAUAACACGGUUUAUUCUUGUAUACACCACUGUUUAUGAUCCCAGAAAAUAAGACGGAUUUUAUUAAAAGCUAAAGCUAUGUCGAUGGAAGCCCCGAAACCUGCUUCUAAUUAACUCGACCACUGAAAUUUGCAGAAUUUCACAUAUACAAUAUGCAAGAUCAGCAGUUUGUGAACACACAUGCAGAAACAUCUCUCGCAAAAUACAUGAAAGCAUCAUCUCGAGUGAAAUCCUGCAUCGCGAAGAGGAUUGAUUUAGAUACACCUGACCAGCUCAGCAGAUUUAUAUGCAAAGUCUGAAAAGUCUAGAGAUAGUGUCAAAUCAUCAUAAAGAAGCACAUGAUUUUUUUCACCUGAAUAUGAUCUCGUUUAAAAAAAAGGGUUCAUCCGGAGAGAAGGGAAACCAAAUGGAAAACCUAAACAGGUCGACCCUAUUUAUGAGAAAGACAUACCAAAAACCACAUGAGCAACAAGGCCUUGUCAACCACACGGCACACGACCAUAGUCUUAGCCAAUACACACUUCCGGAUCUGGAGCCGCCGCUCCGACUUGUCCUGCUCGCACACAAGCUGCAACGUCGCGCAACUCGGUCACCACAUAGCCCUUUGUUACUCGCUCCGAUCCAUAAUAAGUGUCUUAGUUUUGAACUAAGGUUGAACUAACCUUAAUUCGAAAUUGUGACACUAAUUAUGGAUGGGAGGGAGUAGUAGUUAUCUUCCAACCACACAAUUUUACUUUGAGACGUCUUAUAAUGAUAUUAGUGGAGCAAUGUCAUAUUAUGACAAUAAGAUUAAUACAAUAACAAUCGGCCCCGCCGCCGUCAUCCUAGGGCCCGGCAUGGCUUCACCGGCCGUCCCCCCGACGACAGCGACGCGGGGGCGGGCGGGAGGUGAUGGCCGGGCCGGCGGCGGCUAGGGUUUUCCCCGAGUCGCCCACUCGGGGGUUGGGCCUCUACCUCUUCAUGAAGGUUCUUAUAUCCCAGGAACUCCGUGUAAUGUUGUUGAUUGAUUAAUAAAACCGACAUUUCUCUAAAAAAAACUUAGUGUUGUACGACCAUCUUGUCUCGUCCGUGUUCUUAAACCCCACAGAACACUUCAUGAGGCAGCAGUGGGGAAUUUUCCGCAAUGGACAAAAGCCUGACGGAGCAAUGCCGCGUGGAGGUGGAAGGCCUACGGGUCGUCAACUUCUUUUCUCGGUAUUUGAUCUUGCUCCCUGCCCCUUUUUUUCAUGGAAAAAGGAAAUAUCAAUUUCUCCAUUCAUUGAACCCUAGUUCGUUCUUCGCUUUGCAUCGAAUUAAACCACAUGCUCCACCGCUUGUGCGGGCCCCCGUCAAUUCCUUUGAGUUUCAUUCUUGCGAACGUACUCCCCAGGCGGGAUACUUAACGCGUUAGCGCAAAGAAUGAACCCCACACGACACGAGCACUGACAUGAGCAACCUGCAGUGAGAGCUCUAGCGACGGGCAAAAAUGGCGGCCUCCUCCUCUUCUUCACAGCGUUCGCGCCCACACCACUGGCAGCAGCAGCGACCUCCUCCAAGCUUCCCAGCCAGCCUCCUCCUUUCCCUGCUUGGCUCGCUCCUCUGCAGCAGCACCGGGCGGCAAGCUCGAGCGGCAGGUACACCACCGCCGCCACGGCCUCCGCGAAGCCGUUCACGGCGCACUACUUCCCGCAGGAGCUGGAUCACUUCACCUUCACGCCCAACUCCUCCCGCGUCUUUUCCCAGAAGUACCUCCUCAACGACACCUUCUGGCGGAAACCCACCGCCGGCGCCGGCGGCGUCGGCCCUCUGUUCGUGUACACGGGCAACGAGGGCGACAUCGAGUGGUUCGCCACCAACACCGGCUUCAUGUUCGACAUCGCGCCCGAGUUCGGCGCCCUCCUCGUCUUCAUCGAGGUACUCUUUUGGCCACAUCCUCUGCCAUGGCUGAUGUCGUCGGUGACCGCACGCGCCCUGGUCCAAAAUUUGGUUGUCCUAUUGAUUCUCUCGAGACAAGACACCAUUUUUGCUGUUGUUUAAGCUUCCAUAGUAAUCACUUGUUUAAACUUUUUUCUUGUCAUGCUAAUUAGCAUCCAUAGUAAUUACACUUUAUUUUCCUUUUCCUUCUCACAAUGAAAAAAUACGCAAGCUUUAUGUAUUCGUGAAAAAAGAGAAAAUACUAAUUAGUACUAACUGUAAUCACUUGUUCAACUAGUAUAAUAGUACUAACUUGUUUGAAAUUUGUGUGCAGCAUCGGUACUACGGGGAGUCGAAGCCGUUCGGAAACGACUCGUACACGUCGGCAGACACGGUGGGCUACCUGACGUCCACGCAGGCGCUCGCCGACUUCGCCAUCCUCAUCACCAGCCUCAAGCAGAACCUCUCUGCCGUCGACGCCCCCGUCGUUGUCUUUGGCGGCUGCUACGGCGGCAGUAUGUCCAUCACCGACGCGUCUCCCCAUAUCGCCAAUUAAAUCCAUGUGUGCGACAAUCUUUUUUGAGAGAAAAUUAGGAUGAGCUAAUCUACAAUAAUAAUGUAGUCAGUAUGGAUGCAUCUUCCAAAAAUAAAGUACAGUAAAUGAUUUUAUGCCUGUUGUUUCUAGUGCUGGCUUCAUGGUUCAGGCUCAAGUAUCCCCAUGUCGCCAUGGGAGCACUGGCAUCCUCUGCUCCGAUACUGCAGUUCGACGACAUCACCCCGUGGUCUAGCUUCAACGACGCCAUCUCGCAGGACUUCAAGGUAAUAAUGGGAAUUAAUCAAUACUACUGCAUAACAUCAAAGUAUCACCGGUCAAAUUAUUGGUCAUGACAACGCAUGGCAGAUCAGCAUGCUCUGCUCUGGAUACUGAAUUUCACUUGUGGUCACGGUGUUGGCCCUGAAUUACUAUUAGUACUGAAUUUCAUUUGCUGUCGUGUUAUCAGUACCUAGCGGCACCUUAGUGGUUUUCAGUUAUGAAUUAUGAAUUGGUGAUGGUGUUUUUCUUCAAAAGCAUGAGCGUAACAGAUGUUUUUUUUCUCCGAAAAGGAGGAUUACCCCCGGCCUCUGCAUCGAGCGAUGCACACUGCCAUUGAUGUGUUUGAUUAGAAUCUUUCAAGAAAUAAUACAUGGAAUUUAAGUGCGUGACUGAAAUGGCUAAUGAUGUGGAUGUCUAGGUGAGGACUUACCUUAAUGAGUUCAACACGGCUAAUGAUUCAGUUUUUGAUUAGUUUGAUUGCGACGUGCAACCUCGCCAAAACGCUAUCAAUAGGCGGUUAUGAAUAAGGUCCUCACUUGUCCAAAGAUAUGCAAAUUGAUGUAUAUUUUGUUCAUCAUUGAUGCCUGAUGACACAGCUUUUACUAAUACGGUAGAGACAAGAUAUAAAAAAGGAAGGGAAUGACGAGUCACUUGCUAGUGACAUCUUUGUCUGAUUGAUGCUUGAUUAGUAGCUGUACCAAGUCAUGUUUCCAAAAAAAAAAAGUGUUUAAUCAGCUGAUCAAUUAUAAGUUUGUAACAUCCAACUAAUUUUGCAGUCUGAGAGCCUGAAUUGCUUCAGUGUCAUCAAGGCGGUCUGGGAUCUGCUAGAGGACAAGGGAUCCAAUGACACAGGGCUCUUGGAGCUCAGCAAAACCUUUAGGGCCUGCAAGUAAGCUUUGCCCAGCACAAUUACAGAAUUACUCAAUCUUAUCAUGCAGGGAGAAAAUGAUUUUUUUUCUUUACUCAUAACUGUAGAGGACGCCGUCUCCAUGGUAUAAAAUUUACUAGUGUAGGGCGAAAAACAAAAGAUUAUGACUGCAAGUAUUCUUUUCUUUGUGUGAAGUGCAAGUAAAUCAAACAAAUAGUAAAACCUUGUAGCCAAGAAAUACGCGAGAAAAUAACUUGCAGCCCCAAAGAUGCACAUUAAAUGCAAUUGGUAGAUUGAUGGACAUGCAAAACUCAUCUUGUCAACGAAGCAUAUCAUACUUUGAUCAAAUCGACAGUGAUGACUCGGGUUCGUGACAUUGCUCUAUCUCUUGUAUUUUAGGACGGUGCAUUCCGUUUAUCCGCUGGCAUUAUGGCUAAGGGCAGCAUUCACCACCACAGCCAUGGUGGACUAUCCAACUCCAGCCAAUUUCAUGAUGAAUCUGCCUGCUUACCCUGUGAAGGAGGUUAGGCACUUGUAACCUAAUUUACAACCCUUACUCUCGCCUGCAUUACUACAUCAAAUGUAUCAUGAAUGAGGAGAGAAACAUGAGUUUCUACCAAAACUGAGUCUGAGGACCUGUUUUUAUUCUUUUCUGCUGAGCAUGUAAUUAUCCUGACAUUUCUGCAGAUGUGCAAGAUCAUUGAUUCUUUUCCCGCGGAAGCAGACGUCAUCGGCAAAGCUUUCGCUGCGGCGAGCCUAUACUACAAUUACACAGGCGACCAGAAAUGCUUCGAGGUGGAGGGUGGCGAUGACCCUCAUGGCCUCCAUGGCUGGGGCUGGCAGGUACAAGCCUGACUCACAUACAUGUGAAUGUGGUGUAGUGAUAACAAAUGAAGCCUGAGAAGAUCAUAUAUGUGUUUUCUGAAACAAACUCUUUUGCAGGCCUGCACAGAGAUGGUCAUGCCGAUGACGGUGUCGAACGAGAGCAUGUUCCCACCGUCCAGCUUCAGUGACGAGAAGAGGUCGGAGGGCUGCCACCUGGUCUACGGAGUUCGUCCAAGGAUGCACUGGAUCACUACUGAAUAUGGUGGCCAUGUAAGUGUUUGUUUCAGAUUCUCAGUGUUUACAUAUCAGUAGCAGCAUCUCUUUAGAUGGCAUGUGCUCAUCUGGUACUGCAUUGUACAACCCACUGCAGAAAAUUGACAAGGUUCUCAAGAGGUUUGGGAGUAACAUCAUCUUCUCCAACGGGAUGCGAGACCCAUGGAGUAGAUUUCACCAUAUGAAUCAUGCAUGAUGAUAAUUUCGACCAUUCAGGUAACAAUUUUACCACAGUAAAAAAAUACUAAUAGUAUUCCUGUCAAACUGCUAUCAUCAGGGUGCUCAAGAACAUAUCAUCCAGCAUCAUUGCUCUUGUCACAGAGAAAGGUAAACAUGAUUGCAGCAAAUAUGCAACGUCAAAAGGAUUCUGAAACUUACUUAAACAUGACUACUUCUUUUGUGGUGGUGAUGUUCAGGGGCCCAUCAUUUGGACCUCAGAUCAGCAACCAAGGAUGAUCCAGACUGGCUUGUAGAACAAAGGAGACAGGAAGUUGGGAUCAUACAUGGAUGGAUAGAUCAGUAUAACAAGGACAUUGCGCAGAUGUAGCAGUAAGAAGGCGCCAUUGAUUUUCACAGUCAAGGAAAAUUAAUGUAGCUACAUGGAAAAUGUAAGGACUUUGCUAUGUUCUACAGGGCGAUAAGUACAAAAACUGAAGAUAGUGCAUUAGUGCAACUUCAAAUUAAACAAGACACCAGAAAUUUUUGAACUUAAGCAGUCAUAAACGGAUCAUGAAUGCAGAGGUUCUCUUUUUCUACUUCUAGAACUGUUGGCGCUGAACAUUGAAUUUAUGACCCCAGAAACUUCUUAUCGAUGAAACAAAAGUUCACUGAAACAUAUCAACAUGGAUCUUGGUCAAAAGAUCUCGGGGCGAGGAUUCCAACGAUGAAAACGGUUCAGAAUUUGGAUGCACGAUUUAAAAAAUAAAAUGUUUUGAAUAAACGAAUCUAAAAAAACUCCCAUAUUACGACAAAUGACGCAUCUGCACUGCGUCGCUUUGUUGCAAUUAGAAGGUGGGAGUGAUCUUUACAAAGAGUACUUCUUAAUUAGUGAUUUUGCUCUUUUACUUCUUUUUAAUAUCUUUCACGCUUGGGCUGAGCCCACCUGCUGGCCGAAUGUACACAUAAAUGGGCACAUGCCAUGCAAAGCCCUGGGAGGUGUCCUUUCCCGCCCAGGCCUUGAUCCGAAACCCUAUUCAACGCCUUAUACGCCGGUUAUAAGUGAUUACGUAAUCCGGCGAACCCCGCCAUCACCCUUGGGCUUGGCCCAUGUAACUCUUUUUUUUUCCAGGUUGGCAACGUUUGUCUCGCGUGUAGUUCCUGUUCGACCAGUCUAGAUAGUUUUUUUUCUCAACGGGGUUUCCUGGUUUUUUCAAGGAUGGGCUUUGUAAGGGUUUUCUUAUUUCUUUUCCUUUGUCAUUUUUAAUUCUUUUUCAAAAUUCAUGAUUUUUUUUAAAAUCGUGAACAUUUCUUAAAUUUGCGGACUUUUUUUUCAAAUUCAUAAAAAUGAAAAUUUUGAGCUUUCCCAAUUUUGUUCAUCAUUUUUUCCCUUUCUAUUUUUUUCAAAUGCGUGAACUUUUUUCAAUUUCAAGAACUUUUCUACAACUCCAGAACUCUUUUCAAUUUUCCUGAACAAAUUUUGCAAACUGUUUUUCAAUUUUUUGUGAACAUUUUUCAAAUGCAUAAACAUUUAUCAAAUUAGGAACUUUUCAAAACCUGGGAUUCUUUUUGAAAUCCGUUAAUUUUAUUUGAAUCCAUUUACAUCUUUCAAAUGCAUGACCAUUUCCAAGUCCGCGAACUUUUUUCCACUUUUGCAAAAAAAAAGUAAAAUCAAAAUUCAUGAUUUUUUCAAAUCCAUGAACUUUUUACAUUUUUUUUUAAAAAUCUUGCUUUUUCAUAUAUGUGAACUCUAUUGAAAUUUAAGAACUAUUUUGAAACCCAUGAUUUUUUUAAAAUUAGUUUUUUAAUUAAAUAAAUUAAAAGUCACCGGUCAAACGUUUCGCCUGCACCCAAUCAACCACCUUGCAAUCGAUGAAAGGUCCACUUGUCAACCCACCAGGCAUAACUAACUGGGGCAGCCCAAUAGGUGCGCGCGGGCGCCAGUUGGCCUCUUAAGAAGCAUUUUUGUCCUGGCAUCUAACAUCUGACAUGACACAUUGUUGUAGUAGAGUGGAUGAAAGUGUCACGAAAGACGUAAAACAUAGACACAAUGUCAAACAGAAAGGAGAACAUUUUUAGGUCCAAGUAGAGAAAGGUAGUUUUACACUUUAUUUUUAAAACACGUCCCAUUUAUUAAUUGUUUAGAAAAGUAUUACAACCACUUCUUACAGCAUAUGCCAGGCAGGGCGGACAACUAUUAAGAAGAAUACCAUCAGACCUAUUAUCAAAAUGAAACUGGCUUGGCAAUUUUACCUUAGACAUAUUAAAGCUAUUGAAAAACUAAAUGGUGCUAUGAGCUUCCUUCUUCAUAUCAAUAAGAGGGGACCUGUCAAGAUUUUCAUUUGCACGGAAAGAGGCCAUAAAAGCACAAUCAAUUUCCAAAAUACUUGGCAUGUGAAGCGUAUACCGAUGUAAAGACCGGUGAGGCAUGCCCAAAGCUUAGCUUCAUCCACAAUGGUGCACAACCCAAUAAAAUUCCACGAAGAUAUGACAACAUCGCCAGAAGCUCGUUUCAGUUAGUGUCAAGUAGGCAAUUCUCUCUACAAAGUCCCGGAAAAAAAUCUCUUUACAAUGUAAGCCCAUGGGUGGUAGAAGAUUUAUGUACGGUAGCAUUGUGGACAACCAUGUGUUUUCUUGCAAUGGAUGAUCUUUGGUUAGAACUCUAUUACUUGCUUAAGCAUUGAAUCCAAUACAACUUCUGGACUGUUUUUUUUUGAAUGGGGAGAACCCCACCUGUAUACUGAUCUCAAUUAAAAAAACAUUGAACCAGUUUAUGUGAAAAACUUGAUAAAACACCAUGAUUGGAUUUAUGUGAGAAGCUGGAUCAAAAAUCUUGACAACUUAUGGGGCAAUAUGUUUUGCCAAAGCAAGAACACAACUUCAGGACGUCCGGGAAUUUGCUUCGCUGCCCUUUGUUUAAUAUUUUGUUUGCCUUUUGCUAGUUAUCUAGCCGCACUAUUCUGUAAACUUGUAAACCUUGAUACCCGUAAGGGCCUUAUUCUAAGGCCGUGCAAUAGCCUCUUAUAUAUCCUUAAAAAGUACUAUUGGCAGUCUAAGGGUUGACUCUUGCAACGAACACAAUAUGGUCUGUGGUGGACUGGUGGUCCCUAUCUUUAUCCUUGGCGUGUGUUCUUCAUAGUUUUAUGAGUAGAUAAGGUGCAUCAAUAAAUGGAAGCAAAGAAGUUGUCACUCAAGUCAGAGCAAGUGUAAUAAGGUACAGUCAGCAGGCUAUAGAUUAAUAGCCGGCUACAACAUGGACUCCAAGAAACAUUAUGAAAGUGUAAGAUGGGCCAUGCAUUAAUAAACUAGUACUACUUAGCAACUAACUACUAUAUAUGAUAACUACUAUUAGGUUGACUAUAUGUGAUAUGGCAACUACAUAUAGCCGGUUGUUGGCUAUACUAUUCCCUCCGUGUAGGUGCAUAAGGCUGGUUGUAAUGGGAAGUAUCAUAUACUAGUAUCAUGCAUAUGAUACUAGCGUAUGAUACUACCUCCUUAAUGCAUAGUAUCAUAUAUUAGUAUCAUGUAGUACUUUAUUUAUUGUCAUGCAUGACACAUAGCAGCAUAUCAUUUAUUAUGAUACGGUAUCAUGAUAUGAUACUCAACUCUCUCUUUCUUCAUUUAAUUCUAUGACACCUCAUCAAAAUUGCCUAGUUGGCAUGCAUGAUACAAGCUAUGAUACUCCCAUUACGACCAGCCUAAGUCAUCUUAGGUUGUGCACCAUGACUAAGGAGGAGGGAAAAACGAGAUGACUUAAUGUUUAUUUGCUAAUUAAUAGCACUGCAUGCAAUGAACUGACCACUGCAUGUCGUGUUUGGUAGUCUCAAGUCAUUAAAAGCAUGUACGCCCCACAUCUCUUAUUGGUUGAUUCCUUUAUUUAUGUCAAGAAACAAGAAACGAGAUGAGAGUUAAUGAACCAUGCCUAAGUGUUUUGAAAUUAUUUGGUUUUCAUAAGGUGACUUGUACACCUAGACGGAGGGAGUAUUAACCAUGCUCUCACUUGGACCACAAUCACAAUCCUUAUGCCAUGUGGCUCUGUGGUGCAUUGUGCGUGCUGCAGGUGCAACCCAACAUGUUUGUUCCUAUCCUAUUGUUGGCGCUACUACUGUUGCACAUCAUCAAUCGGGAUGGGCAGGCUCGUGGCAGUGGCACCACUACGAUUGUGGUUGUUCGCGGUCUCUGGCCUCCGGGUAUGCAGGUGUCCAUGUGCAUGUACCUCACUGGAUUCCUAUUAUUUCUCGUAUCUUGCAAAGUUGCAAGUGGAUCAAACCUGCAGGGUCACACGCUUAAGGGAUUACGACCAGUUGAGUUCUAUAGGAGCUAGGAAUAUGAGAGAAUAUUAUCAGACAAGUUUCGGAAAUAAAAAAAUAGUUUCGAGAGAAGCCAGAAGCGUUUUGGGGUUACCGGAAGGGUGUCAGGGAAUACAGGGUAAUAGCAUAUAGGUGGAAUUUGUACCCAGAGACCUCAUAUAAAUAUAGGUGUAAUUUGAUAUCGUAUCACAACCUAUGUUCACAGCCUAAAAAAGCGGGACCUGAAUGGAAGAACUCAACAGAACUAUCAACUGCUUACUGGUGAGCUUCUCCAGUCCGGUUUGCUUUUUUCAAUGGCCGGGGUGAUAAUUGCUUACUACUUUGUGCAUUUGGCAUCAAAGUAGCUACUUGCUGGGCAAUGGAGGGCAUCGAUGCGAAACGAAGGGAAAGUGAAUUUGGCACCGAGCAUACAUAGUGGAGGGCCUUAUAAUACUUAGGAUUUAUUUUUCUACCUUGGUCGUUUGAUUCGUUACAUGUAGUACAUUUUUCUAGAACGGAGGCGCUUUCCCGGCUUUAGUGAACUGAAACCCUUAAAACGUUUACAACAACUUAGUGAUAAAAUAAGCAGAAAGAUUCGAUACAGACCCUAUAGGGCCAACGACUCAAGAGCCAAAAACAAACGACAAACUAGAAAUCCAUGACGAAUCGUCGAUCAGCAAGCAUGAUGAAUCACCCUGUUGGCCGCCGAUCUCUCUGAUUUGUAGUAUAUUCCAUAGAAAAUCUAGCAUCUUCUAACAAAAAUAUUCCUUCAGCACAAAUCUGAAAUGUUACAAAAUAUUUUGUUAAUGUGCAUUAUGGUCAUUUGUACAACUGUGAUUUAUGUGAGCUGGCAUUUAUCUUGUCCAGUCGUGAAUCUUUGUUCAACAGUCUAUGCUUUUUCUUUAGGGAAAACAGUCUAUGGCUUGUCUUUUGAAGAAGCUUUUGUCAUUCCGACCGGCGGUGGGCCUGCUCUAUGGCUUUGAUGAGCCUUUGACAGGCCGAAUGAUGGGCUCCCCUGGUAGCCCCAUCAACCUGCAUCGAGUGCAGAUUCCACCUCUGCUGGAUUCUGCUGGGGAAAUGUAGAUUCUUUUUCCCAUUUUAACGUAGGAGCUGACUCAUUGCUCGCCCGUGUAGUCUUGCCUAGGCUGGUUCAGUGCGGGUGUGCUCGUUCGUUGGGGACAUGAUGAGGUGCGAGUAGAUUGCAUGCAUGGGGUGAUGGGGAUAUACUGUUGCAAGUGUGCAACUUGGAUCUUGGGAUGAAAUCAUUUGCUGAAAGUCGAAAAAAGUGAUGGAGAAUUAUGAAAGCUCAUCAUAUCUCAUGACUGCUCCUUGUGUAUUGGUACCGGCGUAGAUCGCGAGUAGAAAAAUGUGAAGGACUAUUAUGGAAGCUCAGUCAUAGCUCAUACUCCGGUGCUCAGGCUCAUCUACACUCGGUACGUUAAAAAAAUACAAACAAAUCUGAAUUUUUUAGGCAUCCAAGUUGCUCAUGUACACAUGGUGAGCGCACAAUUUCAGAUUGUUUAGACAUCUGAGGAGCUCGUGGCAAAAAAAAAACCCGGUUCUAUUGUUCUUUUUCAAAGUUUCUCGGACACCUAAAAUUUGUUUUUUGGCACGAGCUCCUUAGAUGUCGAAACACCACGAAAUUUUUUGGCACGAGCUCCUUAGAUGUCGAAACACCUCGAAACAUCUUGGAUGCCUAAAAAUUUCAUAUAUUUUUACUAUCCUUUUGAAUUUACUGUUCAUGCAUGGGUGUAGAUGAGCAUGCACUAGUAGAAAAAGGGUCAAAUGUCAAUCACAUUAGUGCCGGUUUGAUUUUGAGCCGACACUAAUGUGUGCAUUAGUGCCGGUUCCAACGGCUAGCCGGCCGCUCUCAUUAGUACCGGUUCGGGGCUAACCUUUAGCACCGGUUCGUGCCACGGACCGGUACUAAAGUGAGUGGUGGCAGGAUGUUGUCAGUCCGGGGCCCCUCCAGCACCUUUAGUACCGGUUCGUGGCACGAACCGGUGCUAAAGGUCGUCCUACAUAAACCCUUCGUCCACCCGAGCUCGCUCUGUUCUUCCCCUUUCCCCUCUCCUCUCUGUUCUUCCCCUCUUCCUCUCGAGCUCAUCACACAUUUUGCCCAAAAUUUGUCAAGAUUUGAAGGCCCCCAUCCAUUCAAAUGAUCACAAAGGUUAGCAACUUUGUCCUUUCAUCUCUCAUUGCUAGAUUAGCUCUUGCAAUGCUUUUGUAUAGUGAUUAAUUUAUGAGUUUAGUAAUUUGGGAGGAAAUAUAUGUGCUAGUAUUUGAUUUAUAUGCAAUUUGAGGUCAAAAAUAACACUUAGUUUGCAUAUGUAGGUGUGGUUUACUUAGUGCCUUCUAAAUCUCCGUCGUAACCACAGUCGAUCGCCCGCACCGUUCCGUCGCCGGCACCACCUUGUGGUGAGCCUCUUGUUCAUGAAUGUUUUACAUUACCAAAUUGAUGUUUGUGUGAUUUGGAUAUAUAGUUACUCGUAUAAUUAUCUUAAUCGUAUGUUGUUUAUUAUACAUAGUGCCAUGGUUUUGAUAUCCGUCCCCGUCGGCCCUCGUCCUUGUUAUGAUUCGGAUGUGGUAUAUUCUCUUUUAAAACUAGUUGUUGCAUUUCGUGUUUAUGACAAAUUAUGCCCAUCAAAUUGACAUAGAUAUUUUUGUCUAGGAGGUUUGUGAACCGGAAAUUCCAACCGACCCUAUUGUUGAGAGGUUAAAUUUAGUUGAAAGAGAAAACGAGUAUUUGAAAGAAAAAUUGAAAAGAAUUGAGGGGGAGAAGAUGGAAUUGGAGUUGCAUGUUGCCGAUGUCGUCGAUGAUCACAAGACCAAGAUGGAGAAAAUGCGUUUGAAGAUUAGAAAGAUUAGAAAAUAUGCCAUUGAUAGUGAGGCUUGGUAUCAUUAUGCUGUUGGACAAUUGUUAACUUAGUUGCGAUCUUGAUCGCAUUUGUUAUUGCAUUUAAAUGCUUUAGUUAGAGAGUUAUUUGUUUGUUGCAUUUAAGUCUUGUAUGAACUUUAUGUAUGAACUUGUAUUAAUUUGGUCUUUUCGGUGUUGUGUAAUGAAGAUGAGCCGACAAUGGAUGUACGAUGACCGAUGCUCUCCCGAGUUCAUUAAUGGCGUGCAAACUUUUCUGCUUGCGGCUGAGGCAAACAAGCGGGCGGAUGGUUUUAUGCCUUGUCCAUGUUUAGUAUGUAAGAAUGAUCACAAUUACUCUACGUCAAGAACCAUUCACGUCCACCUGUUUAAGUCCGGUUUCAUGCCCCACAAUAAUGUUUGGACCAAGCACGGAGAAAGAGGGGUUAUGAUGGAAGACAAUGAAGAAGAAGAGGACGACGACAGCUAUCCUGGCCAUGGGUUCCCUGAAUACGAUGAUACAACAAUGGGGGAAGAAGCUAAGCCGGCAAUGCGGGAAGAAGCUGAAGAAGAGGCAUCAGAUGAGCCCGUUGAUGAUCUAGGUCGGGCCAUUGCCGAUGCAAAGAGAAACUGCGCAAGUGAUUUGGAGAAGAAGAACUUGCAGCGCAUGUUAGAGGAUCACAAGAAAUUGUUGCACCCGAAUUGCGAAGCUGACAAGAAAAAGUUGGGCACCACACUGGAAUUGCUGCAAUGGAAGGCAGAGAAUGGUGUAUCUGACAAGGGAUUUGGAAAGUUGCUGGUAAUGAUAAAUAAUAUGCUUCCAAAGGACAACAAAUUGCCCGAGAGUACGUACGAAGAAAAGAA
Molecule: long non-coding RNA, 28446 nt
Filed under: Triticum aestivum (bread wheat)
Lineage: Eukaryota; Viridiplantae; Streptophyta; Magnoliopsida; Poales; Poaceae
Description: long non-coding RNA (TAES_LNC018531)
Source: RNAcentral